This is a long non-coding RNA of Olea europaea var. sylvestris, 948 nucleotides long. RefSeq lists it as uncharacterized. The transcript has 2 exons. NCBI's taxonomy places the organism in Eukaryota, Viridiplantae, Streptophyta, Magnoliopsida, Lamiales, Oleaceae. The record is from RefSeq and is a predicted model, not a curated record.
AAAACCGAAAACCUCGAUGAAGAAACCUGAAGAGGGAUUUAACAAACAAGAAAUAAUUGCCCUAGAAAUGGCCAAAUCCUGCAAGGGCCUAGCUAUGGAACUGGUCAAUUGCCUCAGUGAAUCAGACAGUGUAAAGGGGACAACCGGCCAUAUGGAGAAUGUGCCAAGGAGCAGAACCCGAAAAUUUCAAGCGAGUGUGUGGGACUAAGAGAAACGUAUUUCAAUUGCAAGAGAGGCCAGGCAUGUCUUCUUUCUUUACCAUAUUAAUCUUUGGAAUAUGUGGGAUAUCUUCAUUUUAAACGUAAGGGAAGAAUUAUUCAAAUAUGUAACUUCCUUUCUGCAAAAUUAAUGGGGUGUGGUUGUCAUGGCCUAUAUUUUACGACUUCAAUGCAUUUUCUCGAGAUAUUGAUAUUGAACUUAUGCUUGUGUGGACCAUUUUAUACUUGUAAGCAUGAAUGCAACUUGGUUAUGUUUAAUUGCUGAAAGAGAGAAUCUUCUGUGUUAUCUAUUUAUUGAUCAUAAUAUGAAUUGCGUAGUAGUACAGACAUUGAAUUGAGCACUAAUUAAUUGUGUGAGUUUUUUGUUGUUAACAUAAGCCCUGAAUAAAUGUCUUUAUUGUAUUCAUAUUCAAUGUUUAUGGUGUAAUCAGGUAUUGUUGUGUUUUUCCGUCCAAAUCCAAAAAUUGUUAAAAACUGUUAAGAUGCAAAAUGAACUCAUAAUAAAUCAUUAACAAUCUUCAAAAUUCAUAAUAGAAUAAUUUGAAGCGUGUAAGCAAACAAAAGAAAGAUCUAUUAAGUAAUGAAAACGAAAAUAUUAUUUUGUUGGGACAAUGGAUUAUUCCCGAAGCUGGUCUAUGAGAAACAAUAUUUUUAAUGUUAUUGGCUACUCCUAAAAUUAGUCCAUGAGAAUCUUUACACCUUUUUUGGCUUACACCUAAAACAAAGUAAA